This 394-nucleotide ribosomal RNA is filed under the name uncultured bacterium. Its description in RNAcentral is "bacterial SSU rRNA". It matches the Rfam family "Bacterial small subunit ribosomal RNA", at positions 505 to 898 of the family's 1533-position model. The record is from RNAcentral.
GUGUCAGCAGCCGCGGUAAUACGAAGGGGGCUAGCGUUGCUCGGAAUUACUGGGCGUAAAGGGCGCGUAGGCGGUCUGCCAAGUCAGGCGUGAAAUUCCUGGGCUUAACCUGGGGGCUGCGCUUGAGACUGGUGGGCUAGAGGACGGAAGAGGGUCGUGGAAUUCCCAGUGUAGAGGUGAAAUUCGUAGAUAUUGGGAAGAACACCGGUGGCGAAGGCGGCGACCUGGUCCGUUACUGACGCUGAGGCGCGACAGCGUGGGGAGCAAACAGGAUUAGAUACCCUGGUAGUCCACGCCGUAAACGAUGUGCGCUGGAUGUUGGGGCUCUUAGAGCUUCAGUGUCGUAGCCAACGCGGUAAGCGCACCGCCUGGGGAGUACGGCCGCAAGGUUGAA